Molecule: long non-coding RNA, 284 nt
Organism: Melitaea cinxia (Glanville fritillary)
Lineage: Eukaryota; Metazoa; Arthropoda; Insecta; Lepidoptera; Nymphalidae
Exons: 3
Source: RefSeq, a predicted model, not a curated record
UUGUUUCUUACAGGUUCGUACCAAGUUACAUUCUAGGCCAUAUGUAUUUAGCUGUAUAUCGUAUUUCUAGGUCAAAAUGGCGACCUCGCUAAAUUUACUAAUAUCAGCAUAACACCUGUUAUCUAAAGCCAUUGAAAAUGAAUUAUUUUUCAGUAUUAAAUAAAUUUUAAUUUUAAUUUUUCCAUUGAAAUUUAACUUAAAAGUCAUAAAUAUUAACGAUUACGAAACACAAAUUAUCCGGAUUGUUCUUAUAAGAGAAACAAGCCAUAAAAAUCAAACACGAA